AUGCUUGCUUUAUCAGCACAUGUACUGAAAUGUUAAUGACACAGAGAAGACAAGCAUGACGCCUGCAUAGAAGUGACAUACAAGUUUGUGGAGCAUUCCAUAAAAUA
This 107-nucleotide small nuclear RNA is filed under the name Erinaceus europaeus (western European hedgehog). The record is from RNAcentral. Lineage: Eukaryota; Metazoa; Chordata; Mammalia; Eulipotyphla; Erinaceidae.